Molecule: ribosomal RNA, 426 nt
Filed under: uncultured prokaryote
Description: bacterial SSU rRNA
Rfam family: Bacterial small subunit ribosomal RNA
Source: RNAcentral
UGGGGAAUUUUCCGCAAUGGGCGCAAGCCUGUCGGAGCAAUACCGCGUGAGGGAGGAAGGCUUUUGGGUUGUAAACCUCUUUUCUCAAGGAAGAAGUCCUGACGGUACUUGAGGAAUCAGCAUCGGCUAACUCCGUGCCAGCAGCCGCGGUAAUACGGAGGAUGCAAGCGUUAUUCGGAAUUACUGGGCGUAAAGGGCGCGUAGGCGGUCUGUUGCGUCAGGUGUGAAAGCCCCGGGCUCAACCUGGGAGGUGCACUUGAUACGGGCGGACUGGAAUCCGGGAGAGGAUGGUGGAAUUCCCAGUGUAGAGGUGAAAUUCGUAGAUAUUGGGAAGAACACCGAUGGCGAAGGCAGCCAUCUGGCCCGGUAUUGACGCUGAGGCGCGAAAGCGUGGGGAGCAAACAGGAUUAGAUACCCCCGUAGUCC